Molecule: long non-coding RNA, 2424 nt
Filed under: Elaeis guineensis (African oil palm)
Lineage: Eukaryota; Viridiplantae; Streptophyta; Magnoliopsida; Arecales; Arecaceae
Description: long non-coding RNA (EGUI_LNC079363)
Source: RNAcentral
CCGCAUGAACUCACUGUCAAGGAUAGAUAAAUAGAUAUUCAAUAAGACUUCUGAAAAAAUGCCCACCGGAGGAAUGCCCAACCGACCAUAGGUAGAGGGCAGCGAAAACGGAAGUUCAAUUCAACAGGAAAAGAGAGGGAUUGAAGGACCUCCUCAAGCGAACUUAUGUGUCCUCGCUAGCAGCCCGAACUUUUCUUUAUUCACAGGGCUCAAUCGACUGAUAAAAGAGGUCUUUCAUUAACUUUUGAUUAAGCUCAGUAUUUCCUCCUAGAUAAUGUAUCUGUGCGUCAAAGAAGAGUAGCCCGCCCAGUAAAUAAGGGCACUUGCAUUUUGUCUUCAAAUCAAUAGACUAUCUAGAUUCACUUUCCGCUGAUCUUUAUGUAGAGGAAAGGCUUACUUAUCGAGCUUCCUACCACUGCUUUGAUCACUGACGGGACGGAAUUUACGAUUCGACUUGAUCCACUAAGCCCGGGGGAUUUUAUGGCUCACCAAAGUUUUUCUUCGUAACCAGACGGAGAUUUCAUUCCACUUUAUGUGGGGCAUACUUUUUCUUUGACUUCCUAGUGGGACUGCACGCAAGACUCUCUUUUUUUUUUAGAUGAAAGACCUUCUUCUUGACCGCCUGGCCUCAUUUAUCGAUCGAGGAAAGAUGAGAUCUUGAGCAUAACUACUCCCGUUUUCCUUCGUGGUGGGGCUUCGACAACUCAACUAUCUUCUAAAAGCCUUAUUUAUUGAGUACUGUCCCCUCACAGCUCAGCCCAUUACCCUUUAUUCCUGGCUCAGGCUAGUUUGCUGCUCAAGGAAACUCGAGAUGAUUUUUGGAACCUCUUUUUCUCCCUCAGAUAACAAGGAGGAGGAUGAUUGGCUUCGCAACUCUUCCUUUCCUUUGGAUGAUUGGCUAUGCAACUAUCCCUUCUUUCACCUGAUUCAGGUCUUUCAAUACCCGAAACAGCAAAUGCGGAAGCGCAGCCAAGUACUGAAAUAGGAGUUGGUUCACUUGCCCUUGAUUGAGCCGAUCAGUCCUUGUUGACCUUUUGAGGUGAAGGGGGAAGACCCAUAGCGCUUUCUUCAGUACUCGUGGGAGAAAGGGCUCUCUUAGGGAAGAAGGGUUCUCGCUUUGGGGGUAGAACUCUCAGCGGGAUAUAAAAUAGGAUUUCCAGCAGUGCUCUAGAGAAGAGGGGUUCCCUGCCUUAGGGAAAGAAAGGUUGCGGGCUAACAAAGACAGUGAGGCUUCGCUAACUAUCGAACCUACAGGCCCCUAACUCGCUACGUCCUCGAGGAGUAGUCCGUCCUCCUUUGACGAGGUGCACUCCCUACGUCCUUUCGAUCUCCGCUUCUUGCUUCCAUAGGCCCCUAUUGACUAACGAAUAGAAGUUCGUCUUGCUUUCCCUGAUCGAAUAAACAUAGUAUUUGCUCCUCCUUUUUAGUUGAUAUGGGACCCUGAACUUCUCCCGAUGGACGGCACUUCGGGAGCCCUCAUUCAUUGUGGAUGCUAGGAGGUGUGAACGGUUGAAAAAGCCGACCUGUGUACACAGCCUGAACCAGAACUCGAUCCUUGGAUUUAUGAUCUGACACUAUAGGCAUGCUCACCAUACUUUCCAGAGCGUGUGAGGAAGAUGAAGGAAGUAAUGCUAGGCGUGCAGACGACGACUACUCACUUCUCUUGUGAAGUCUUGAAUUCUGAUCAGACUGAAGAAGAUAGGGCAUGAACUAUUCGAUCAAUUAGGCAAGUUCCCGAGCUCGCCCUACCCUAAGAAAGAAGAAUGUGAGGACGGAACCGAGACAUAGUCUUUUGAAGCCUGGCACCACGGUUGAAGGUUGACAUCACGGUGAACAGCAAAUUAGCAUUGUGUCCACUCCACUUGAUUCAGUUCAACUGAAAAACCUUUACGGGUACAUAGAAAACGGAAAGCAAGAUUUUUCAGGCAGAGCGAGGGUCCCUAUUCUCUUCUCUCUUCAUUUCAAACCGCUUUACCCAAGUCAAUCUGAUAUUGGCGCUUAGAUGGGAAGAACCAGAUGAUGGAAACCAUCUUUCGCUAGCAAGCAGACGAAUGGCUCGGCAAUGAACGGGCUUGAGUUGACUCGAUGAGAUACUGCACUGAGCUAGCGAUCUUUCGUAAACCGAAAGAAAGACGAGCGGACAACCGCCCUUUUCGUCAUAAGGGGAAUCAACUGAUUCAGAAACAGAUAAGUCAUAGGAGCUAAUGAUGAGAGCAGACCGAAAGAAAGAAAGACGAACACAGAGCUCAGAAGCUCACUUCCCAGCCGGUUAGGUCAAGGGAAAGCGCAUCCAGAAACCAAUAACUAAUAGACGUCGACUCACGCCGCGAUCGGGUCGAAGGAAAGAACAGUGGUCAGCGGAGGAACCUUAUGCCACUGCAUCCUGGCAAAGAUAGGGCUGUUUCAGAGAUCGAGGCUAUGAAA